UGGGGAAUAUUGGACAAUGGGGGCAACCCUGAUCCAGCAAUGCCGCGUGUGUGAAGAAGGCCUUAGGGUUGUAAAGCACUUUAGGCUGGGAGGAAGACGUGUAGUUUAAGAGAUGAUACGUUUGACUGUACCGGCAGAAUAAGCACCGGCUAACUCUGUGCCAGCAGCCGCGGUAAUACAGAGGGUGCGAGCGUUAAUCGGAGUUACUGGGCGUAAAGGGCGCGUAGGCGGUUGUUUAAGUGAGAUGUGAAAUCCCUGGGCUUAACCUAGGAACUGCAUCUCAUACUGGGCAGCUAGAGUAUUGUAGAGGGUAGUGGAAUUUCCGGUGUAGCGGUGAAAUGCGUAGAGAUCGGAAGGAACACCAGUGGCGAAGGCGGGUUGCUGGGCUGACACUGACGCUGAGGCGCGAAAGCUAGGGGAGCGAACGG
This 428-nucleotide ribosomal RNA is filed under the name uncultured bacterium. RNAcentral describes it as "bacterial SSU rRNA". It matches the Rfam family "Bacterial small subunit ribosomal RNA", at positions 355 to 775 of the family's 1533-position model. The record is from RNAcentral.